Prevotella sp. is the source of this 357-nucleotide non-coding RNA. It matches the Rfam family "Bacterial RNase P class A". From Rfam's summary of the family: Ribonuclease P (RNase P) is a ubiquitous endoribonuclease, found in archaea, bacteria and eukarya as well as chloroplasts and mitochondria. Its best characterised activity is the generation of mature 5'-ends of tRNAs by cleaving the 5'-leader elements of precursor-tRNAs. The record is from Rfam. NCBI's taxonomy places the organism in Bacteria, Pseudomonadati, Bacteroidota, Bacteroidia, Bacteroidales, Prevotellaceae.
GCAGUUGAAUGGUCCGUCGUGGAUAGUCUUUUUUAGACUAGACGAGGAAAGUCCGGGCAGCAUAGGGUGCUCCGCUUCUUAAUGGGAAGUUGUCUGCGAAGGCGAAUAAACGUAGAAGAAAAUAACUGCCUCCUUCGGAGGUAAGGGUGAGAAGGUGAGGUAAGAGCUCACCAGCAAUGUGGUGACAUGUUGGCUGUGCGUAUCGGAGGCUGAAAGUUCGCGUAAACUGGCGCUUGAGGGCGACCCGCUCGAGCCAGAGGGUAGAACGAUAGAGCCUAUUGGUGACAAUAGGCCAGGAUAAAUGACGGGCACAUUCUUUGGAAUGGACAGAACCCGGCUUAUAGUUUAACUGCUUUU